Molecule: long non-coding RNA, 1038 nt
Organism: Gasterosteus aculeatus aculeatus (three-spined stickleback)
Lineage: Eukaryota; Metazoa; Chordata; Actinopteri; Perciformes; Gasterosteidae
Source: Ensembl
GAAAUGUAAAGGCAGAGGGAGGUCUGCACAAAAAGGAUAGAAGAAGAAGAGGGAGAAGGGUGCAGGAUCAGAGGAGGCAAAGGCACGGAGAGUGAAAGAUGGAGCAGCAGGACAAGUGUGGUCAGACGUCGACAACCAACGCAAACUGGACCCGGAAUCAAUGGAGGAAGGAUGAGGGAAUGAUGUCCAUCACACAUGGAAUCGAAGCCGAAUUCACUUCGGCAACUUUGAAUGGGCAGCUGUCGACCCUUUGAGUGUGCAUGGACCACAAUGUGAUGAGAAUACAGCAGGAGGACGAUUCCAAACAGACCAACACAUCAAAGAAUCAAUCGGGUCAGAUAGAAUCCCCCCGUUUCCACAAUCAAACUGGCUACUUGUUUCACUUGACUUGAUCCAAUAUAACUUAACAUCAAAUGUAGUUAGGUAUGAUCAGCCGGAAAGAUACAAAGUGCCUGAGGACAAACUGCUGAGCUGGUUGAAUAAUUAGAGUUUGGGAGAAUUUGCUUUGUAUGUAUUGAAAGGACGCUCGAUACUCAAUGAUUUAUUUAAAAUAUAGCGUGUCAUUAACUCCCUAUAAUUACCAUGUUAUGUUAUCUACUGAGUGUGUGUGUGUGUGUGUGUGUGUGUGUGUGUGUGUGUGUGUGAGUUGUUGUCAUAUUGUAGGUCAAAAUGAUGCAAUGAAUGAAUCAAAUGUAGAGUCAUAAAAUAAACUUAAAAAGCUGUUUUGGCGCCUUGGUCUGUUUCUUCCUCUACAGCUGAUUGGCUCACUUUCUUUCAGGACAAAGCUUUCUCUGCCACAUUAAAAAGGAAUUUUUACUUUUUAAACUCUUGCUAAGAACAAAAGUUGGUUGGGUUAAAGAUGUCAAUUGUUAGGAUAGAUCAUUUUAUUAAGUUCCUCGCAACCUCAAUUGCUUUGAUUCUGGAUUGUUAUCAUAAUGUAAAAGAAAAAACCUCCCCCUCAUUAUGAGAAUUACUCAGAAUUUGGUAAACAGAUUAUGAUUAACUGAUUAUUCUUCAUUGCAAUCAAACUUAAAUAAG